GGUGAGAUGGCCGAGCGGUCUAAGGCGCCAGACUAAGGCUUUGUCAUCAUUUCUCACGCAUAAAUCUGGUCCGAAAGGGCGUGGGUUCGAAUCCCACUCUCAUCA
RNAcentral lists this transfer RNA (105 nucleotides) under Hygrophoropsis aurantiaca. RNAcentral describes it as "tRNA-Leu". It matches the Rfam family "tRNA". Rfam says of the family: Transfer RNA (tRNA) molecules are approximately 80 nucleotides in length. Their secondary structure includes four short double-helical elements and three loops (D, anti-codon, and T loops). Lineage: Eukaryota; Fungi; Basidiomycota; Agaricomycetes; Boletales; Hygrophoropsidaceae. The record is from RNAcentral.